This 490-nucleotide ribosomal RNA is filed under the name uncultured bacterium. RNAcentral's name for it is "partial 16S ribosomal RNA". It matches the Rfam family "Bacterial small subunit ribosomal RNA", at positions 29 to 507 of the family's 1533-position model. The record is from RNAcentral.
AUUGAACGCUGGCGGCAUGCCUUACACAUGCAAGUCGAACGGCAUCGCGGGAAAGCUUGCUUUCCUGGCGGCGAGUGGCGAACGGGUGAGUAACACAUCGGAACGUACCGGCUAGUGGGGGAUAACCCGUCGAAAGACGGGCUAAUACCGCAUACGCUCUUCGGAGGAAAGCAGGGGACCUUUGGGCCUUGCGCUAGUCGAGCGGCCGAUGUCCGAUUAGCUAGUUGGUGGGGUAAAGGCCUACCAAGGCGACGAUCGGUAGUGGGUCUGAGAGGACGAUCCGCCACACUGGGACUGAGACACGGCCCAGACUCCUACGGGAGGCAGCAGUGGGGAAUCUUGGACAAUGGGGGCAACCCUGAUCCAGCAAUGCCGCGUGGGUGAAGAAGGCCUUCGGGUUGUAAAGCCCUUUCGGCAGGGAAGAAAUCGGCGGGGCGAAUAACCCUGCUGGAUGACGGUACCUGCAGAAGAAGCACCGGCUAACUACGUG